CUCAGCUCAGAGACAGAGGGUAAAGUAGUGGAUAACAAAGGAUGAGCAGAGGCAGAAAAGUUCCAGGUGAGCGGAUGCAAUGAUGUACAGGUGAGCGGAUGCAAUGAUGUACAGGUGAGAGGAUGCAAUGAUGUACAGGUGAGCGGAUGCAAUGAUGUACAGGUGAGAGGAUGCAAUGAUGUACAGGUGAGUGGAUGCAAUGAUGUACAGGUGAGUGGAUGCAAUGAUGGACAGGUGAGAGGAUGCAAUGAUGUACAGGUGAGCGGAUGCAAUGAUGGACAGGUGAGAGGAUGCAAUGAUGGACAGGUGAGAGGAUGCAAUGAUGGACAGGUGAGAGGAUGCAAUGAUGGACAGGUGAGAGGAUGCAAUGAUGUACAGGUGAGAGGAUGCAAUGAUGUACAGGUGAGCGGAUGCAAUGAUGGACAGGUGAGAGGAUGCAAUGAUGGACAGGUGAGCGGAUGCAAUGAUGUACAGGUGAGCGGAUGCAAUGAUGUACAGGUGAGAGGAUGCAAUGAUGUACAGGUGAGAGGAUGCAAUGAUGUACAGGUGAGAGGAUGCAAUGAUAUACAGGUGAGCGGAUGCAAUGAUGGACAGGUGAGCGGAUGCAAUGAUGUACAGGUGAGCGGAUGCAAUGAUGUACAGGUGGGUAGGGGUGUGGUUACACCACACUAUAUUUAAUUUUACUGUACUGUAUUCUUAAAAUGGCUAC
Apodemus sylvaticus (European woodmouse) is the source of this 709-nucleotide long non-coding RNA. RefSeq lists it as uncharacterized. NCBI's taxonomy places the organism in Eukaryota, Metazoa, Chordata, Mammalia, Rodentia, Muridae. The record is from RefSeq and is a predicted model, not a curated record. The transcript is spliced from 3 exons.